RNAcentral lists this ribosomal RNA (490 nucleotides) under uncultured bacterium. RNAcentral describes it as "partial 16S ribosomal RNA". It matches the Rfam family "Bacterial small subunit ribosomal RNA", at positions 29 to 507 of the family's 1533-position model. The record is from RNAcentral.
AGUGAACGCUGGCGGCAGGCCUAACACAUGCAAGUCGAACGGCAGCACAAGAGAGCUUGCUCUCUGGGUGGCGAGUGGCGGACGGGUGAGGCAUGCAUCGGAAUCUGCCCAUUUGUGGGGGAUAACCUCGGGAAACCGGGACUAAUACCGCAUACGACCUACGGGUGAAAGCAGGGGAUCUUCGGACCUUGCGCAGAUGGAUGAGCCGAUGCCGGAUUGGCUAGUUGGAGGGGUAAAGGCCCACCAAGGCGACGAUCCGUAGCUGGUCUGAGAGGAUGAUCGGCCACACUGGAACUGAGACACGGCCCAGACUCCUACGGGAGGCAGCAGUGGGGAAUAUUGGACAAUGGGCGCAAGCCUGAUCCAGCCAUGCCGCGUGUGUGAAGAAGGCCUUCGGGUUGUAAAGCACUUUUGUUGGGAAAGAAAAGCAGCCGGUUAAUACCCGGUUGUCAUGACGGUACCCAAAGAAUAAGCACCGGCUAACUUCGUG